UGACAAUAAUACAGCUGCUUCCAUGGUGGCAGCGGCUGGAUUGGCCCAUUUGAUGGGUGUCCUCUUGUCCAGUAUGGUUGUAUUCAAAAAGAUUGUCACGAGUACCAGCGUUAUGUUGGUAACCGUUGUCCUCGUAUCCUCUUCAUUUAUCGUUGAACCACUGCUGACCUCUGGGUGGUUGAUAUCGAUAAACGCCAUUGUUUAUGUAGCUGGAAUGGCAGCGGUUUUCGCCAUUGGUGAUGUCAUGGUGAAGGAGUUCUUAGGGAUCGACAGAAUGGCCAACGCCCUCGGCUGGAUGGGCUUCUUGUCCGGAGUCUUUCGGUUUUUUUCCGGAUUUGUUCCAGGCUGGAUUUAUGAUCACUCUGGCAGUUACGAUCUGGCUUUCUUCUGCCUUGGCGCCGUCCAGAUGGUCUCGGCAGUUCCACUUCUUUGCUUGUGUCUGCACAACAGCAACCCUUGCAGAAAAUCCUAGUGAUAGUGGCGUUACGUUAACAAGCGAGGCAGGAGCCUGACGUAACGAACGUCUAAUAAUGUUCACGUAAGCCAAUUUUAGGCCAGCCAGCCAAUCGGAGCUGUAUUGGAUCAACGGGGCCGUUGAAUGGUCGAAGCCGUCAGCGGACUUUAUACACUUAGAAGGUACACCCUGGUUAGUCACAACAGCAAGAAUCACCUUGCAUUUAUUUAAUCGUUUGCUGCAGUAUUGUUAGACCAGCCAACCCUAUAUCAUAUCCUCCAUUAUCCAGCAUUAUGUUCUCUUGAUUUCUAAUUUCAGAAAACUGUCACCAUUACUAGACCCGUUUAUAUCCGUGUCCCUAAAUGUACAUUUUUUAGAGUAAGCCUGCAUCCUAAAAUCCCACGUUGGACGGGUCAAACCAAUUCACGGAAGAGGGGCUUUCGGUAAAUGAAAGAAAUGACAUUGUGAUAUUCCUACCAAUCCUACGCAUCACUGCUAAUGUCAAGUGGUUUACUGAACAUAGUUACGGUACAUCUAGGUUUGUGUUAUGAGUCAUCUAGCUAAAAGCUCCGUUAUUUUCCCGGGCUGCAUAUUUCCCUUGACAAACGAUGACGAACAUUUUGAUUGCUUAAUGGCAGACAUAACUUGCAUAUUAGCGACCGGUUCAGCGAUACACACGCUUAUAUUUAUAUAUGAGCGUAUAUCUAUAUAUACGAGCAGCCAGUUCGGUAUCCGGUUCGUAAGUGU
This is an unclassified non-coding RNA of Acanthaster planci (crown-of-thorns starfish), 1201 nucleotides long. NCBI's taxonomy places the organism in Eukaryota, Metazoa, Echinodermata, Asteroidea, Valvatida, Acanthasteridae. The record is from RefSeq and is a predicted model, not a curated record.